GGAUCAUUAUUGAAUUUGAAAGAGGUAUUGUUGCUGGUCUUUCGGGACAUGWGCACGCCUCGCUCAUCUCCAUUCACACCUGUGCACUCUUUGUAGGUUGGUUUUGGACUUGACCUUACGGUCUCGUUUAAGCUUGCCUAUGAUUUUAUACAUACACUCAGUUUAUAGAAUGUCAUUGCGUUAAACGCAUUAUAUACAACUUUCAGCAACGGAUCUCUUGGCUCUCGCAUCGAUGAAGAACGCAGCGAAAUGCGAUAAGUAAUGUGAAUUGCAGAAUUCAGUGAAUCAUCGAAUCUUUGAACGCACCUUGCGCUCCUUGGUAUUCCGAGGAGCAUGCCUGUUUGAGUGUCAUGGAAUUCUCAACCCAUCAGUCUUGUUAUGAGGCUUUGAUGGGCUUGGAUUUGGAGGUUUAUGCUGCAUUUUUAUUAGUGCGGCUCCUCUUGAAUGUAUUAGUAGAACCUGCCGAGCAGUUCUCAGUGUGAUAAUUGUCUACGCUGUGAUUGCGAAAGCAUUAUGGGAUCUGCUUCUAACUGUCUACUUGUUUAGACAAUUUAUUUAACAUCUGACCUCAAAUCAGGUAGGACUACCCGCUGAACUUAA
Molecule: ribosomal RNA, 600 nt
Filed under: Ischnoderma resinosum
Lineage: Eukaryota; Fungi; Basidiomycota; Agaricomycetes; Polyporales; Ischnodermataceae
Description: eukaryotic LSU rRNA
Source: RNAcentral